GGUUUAUGAUGAUAAGUUGUAAGGCUUGUUUCUCAAAACAUUCGCAGUGGCCGCCUGAGAGCUUUCGCUUUUCGCCGGGCUUGAGAGCUUGUGCUGCUUUUAUCCUUCCUUGGAUGUCUGAGACC
Small nucleolar RNA from Gossypium raimondii (Peruvian cotton), 125 nucleotides. It matches the Rfam family "Small nucleolar RNA SNORD14". From Rfam's summary of the family: U14 small nucleolar RNA (U14 snoRNA) is required for early cleavages of eukaryotic precursor rRNAs. In yeasts, this molecule possess a stem-loop region (known as the Y-domain) which is essential for function. The record is from Rfam. Lineage: Eukaryota; Viridiplantae; Streptophyta; Magnoliopsida; Malvales; Malvaceae.